AUGGACUUGGUAUUAGUUUGUUAGAGAGUUUCCUAUUGAAUGAGUAAGGUAAUAGCUAGGGGAGUCUUUUGAGUUUGUUCUUUGGAUGCUACCCUAUUUAAUGUAUUAGUUUGUUAGAGAGCUUCCUAUUGAAUAAGUAAGGUAAUAGCUAGGGGAGUCUUUUGAGUUUGUUAUUUGGAUGCUACCCUAUUUAAUGUAUUAGUUUGUUAGAGAGCUUCCUAUUGAAUCAGUAAGGUAAUAGCUAGGGGAGUCUUUUGAGUUUGUUAUUUGGAUGCUACCCUAUUUAAUGUAUUAGUUUGUUAGAGAGUAUCCUAUUGAAUCAGUAAGGUAAUAGCUAGGGGAGGGUUUUGAGUUUGUUAUUUGGAUGCUACCCUAUUUAAUGUAUUAGUUUGUUAGAGAGUAUCCUAUUGAAUCAGUAAGGUAAUAGCUAGGGGAGGGUUUUGAGUUUGUUAUUUGGAUGCUACUCUAUUUAAUGUAUUAGUUUGUUAGAGAGUUUCCUAUUGAAUCAGUAAGGUAAUAGCUAGGGGAGUCUUUUUAGUUUGUUAUUUGGAUGCUACUCUAUUUAAUGUAUUAGUUUGUUAGAGAGCUUCCUACUGAAUCAGUAAGGUAAUAGCUAGGGGAGUCUUUUGAGUUUGUUAUUUGGAUGCUACUCUAUUUAAUGUAUUAGUUUGUUAGAGAGCUUCCUAUUGAAUCAGUAAGGUAAUAGCUAGGGGAGUCUUUUGAGUUUGUUAUUUGGAUGCUACCCUAUUUAAUGUAUUAGUUUGUUAGAGAGCUUCCUAUUGAAUCAGUAAGGUAAUAGCUAGGGGAGUCUUUUUAGUUUGUUAUUUGGAUGCUACCCUAUUUAAGGCAUGUUUGGUAUGGAAUAAGAUAACCAGCAGUUUGAUAUUGUUUA
This is a long non-coding RNA of Helianthus annuus (common sunflower), 892 nucleotides long. RefSeq lists it as uncharacterized. The transcript has 2 exons. The record is from RefSeq and is a predicted model, not a curated record. Lineage: Eukaryota; Viridiplantae; Streptophyta; Magnoliopsida; Asterales; Asteraceae.